This 408-nucleotide ribosomal RNA is filed under the name uncultured bacterium. RNAcentral's name for it is "partial 16S ribosomal RNA". It matches the Rfam family "Bacterial small subunit ribosomal RNA", at positions 28 to 526 of the family's 1533-position model. The record is from RNAcentral.
GACGAACGCUGGCGGCGUGCUUAACACAUGCAAGUCGAACGAAGUGGCGAACGGGUGAGUCACGCGUAAUCAACCUGCCCUUCAAAGGGGGACAACAGUUGGAAACGACUGCUAAUACCGCAUACUGAAGGAGGGGAUUGAGUCUGAUUAGCUAGUAGGAGGGGUGACGGCCACACAAGGCGAUGAUCAGUAGCCGGUCUGAGAGGAUGAACGGGCACAUUGGGACUGGGACACGGCCCAGACUCCUACGGGAGGCAGCAGUGGGGAAUCUUCCGCAAUGGACGAAAGUCUGACGGAGCAACGCCGCGUGAGUGAUGACGGCCUUCGGGUUGUAAAGCUCUGUUAAUCGGGACGCGGUACCGGAAUAGAAAGCCACGGCUAACUACGUGCCAGCAGCCGCGGUAAUAC